GCUCGGCCGGGUCGAGGACGUCGACGGAGGCCACCCGCGCCUCGGGGUCGUCGGCCACGCGGCGCAGCACCCGUACGAAGCGGGCGCCGAGCGCC
This 95-nucleotide transfer RNA is filed under the name Streptomyces capoamus. Its description in RNAcentral is "tRNA-Gly". The record is from RNAcentral. RNAcentral also lists the same sequence under 1 other name. Lineage: Bacteria; Bacillati; Actinomycetota; Actinomycetes; Kitasatosporales; Streptomycetaceae.